AUGGAGAUACUACUGUAUGGACUCAUACUGAUGAUUAUUUCAUCUGUUAGUGGUCAGUCUUUGACCUCCUCAGAUUCUGUGGUGAAAAAGCCUGGAGAAUCAGUGACUCUGUCCUGCACUGUGUCUGGAUUCUCAAUGAGCUGGUGGAUGGGCUGGAUUCGUCAGAAACCAGGGAAAGGGCUGGAGUGGAUUGGCCAUAUUGACCCUGGCACUGGCACUAUUUUUGCUCAGUCUCUUCAGGGCCAGUUCUCCAUCACCAAAGACAAAAACAUGCCAAGACUGAAGACACCAUCUGUUGGUGUCAAACACUGA
Non-coding RNA from Labeo rohita (rohu), 312 nucleotides. The record is from the annotation of a RefSeq genome assembly. NCBI's taxonomy places the organism in Eukaryota, Metazoa, Chordata, Actinopteri, Cypriniformes, Cyprinidae.